AGAGAGAGAGAAAGAGAGAAAGAAGGAAAGAAAGAAAGAAAGAAAGAAAGAAAGAAAGAAAGAAAGAAAGAAAAAAGAAAAAAGAAAAACGUUAGAGGAGCUUGAAAUAGAGGGAAGCAAAAAUAAGAAAGUAUGGGAUAGAGAAAGAAAGGGUGAGAUAUUGUGCCUGUAUUGACGGUGGUGUGAUUGUGGUUGCAGUGUAGUUGUGUUGAUGGUAGCAAUAUCAGUAGUAGUAGUAGUAGUGUAGUAGUAGUAGUAGUAGUAGUAGUAAUAUAGUAGUAGUAGUA
This is a long non-coding RNA of Vespula pensylvanica (western yellowjacket), 287 nucleotides long. RefSeq lists it as uncharacterized. The record is from RefSeq and is a predicted model, not a curated record. The transcript is spliced from 2 exons. NCBI's taxonomy places the organism in Eukaryota, Metazoa, Arthropoda, Insecta, Hymenoptera, Vespidae.